RNAcentral lists this ribosomal RNA (253 nucleotides) under uncultured bacterium. RNAcentral describes it as "partial 16S ribosomal RNA". It matches the Rfam family "Bacterial small subunit ribosomal RNA", at positions 524 to 776 of the family's 1533-position model. The record is from RNAcentral.
UACAGAGGUCUCAAGCGUUGUUCGGAUUCAUUGGGCGUAAAGGGUGCGUAGGCGGCGCGGUAAGUCGGGUGUGAAAUCUCGGAGCUUAACUCCGAAACUGCAUUCGAUACUGCUGUGCUUGAGGACUGGAGAGGAGACUGGAAUUUACGGUGUAGCGGUGAAAUGCGUAGAUAUCGUAAGGAAGACCAGUGGCGAAGGCGGGUCUCUGGACAGUUCCUGACGCUGAGGCACGAAGGGCAGGGGAGCAAACGGG